This 757-nucleotide ribosomal RNA is filed under the name uncultured Bacillus sp. RNAcentral describes it as "bacterial SSU rRNA". It matches the Rfam family "Bacterial small subunit ribosomal RNA", at positions 30 to 767 of the family's 1533-position model. The record is from RNAcentral. Lineage: Bacteria; Bacillati; Bacillota; Bacilli; Caryophanales; Bacillaceae.
UGGACGCUGGCGGCGUGCCUAAUACAUGCAAGUCGAGCGAAUGGAUUAAGAGCUUGCUCUUAUGAAGUUAGCGGCGGACGGGUGAGUAACACGUGGGUAACCUGCCCAUAAGACUGGGAUAACUCCGGGAAACCGGGGCUAAUACCGGAUAACAUUUUGAACUGCAUGGUUCGAAAUUGAAAGGCGGCUUCGGCUGUCACUUAUGGAUGGACCCGCGUCGCAUUAGCUAGUUGGUGAGGUAACGGCUCACCAAGGCAACGAUGCGUAGCCGACCUGAGAGGGUGAUCGGCCACACUGGGACUGAGACACGGCCCAGACUCCUACGGGAGGCAGCAGUAGGGAAUCUUCCGCAAUGGACGAAAGUCUGACGGAGCAACGCCGCGUGAGUGAUGAAGGCUUUCGGGUCGUAAAACUCUGUUGUUAGGGAAGAACAAGUGCUAGUUGAAUAAGCUGGCACCUUGACGGUACCUAACCAGAAAGCCACGGCUAACUACGUGCCAGCAGCCGCGGUAAUACGUAGGUGGCAAGCGUUAUCCGGAAUUAUUGGGCGUAAAGCGCGCGCAGGUGGUUUCUUAAGUCUGAUGUGAAAGCCCACGGCUCAACCGUGGAGGGUCAUUGGAAACUGGGAGACUUGAGUGCAGAAGAGGAAAGUGGAAUUCCAUGUGUAGCGGUGAAAUGCGUAGAUAUAGGAAGGAACACCAGUGGCGAAGGCGACCACCUGGACUGAUACUGACACUGAGGUGCGAAAGCGUGGGGA